RNAcentral lists this ribosomal RNA (253 nucleotides) under uncultured bacterium. Its description in RNAcentral is "partial 16S ribosomal RNA". It matches the Rfam family "Bacterial small subunit ribosomal RNA", at positions 524 to 776 of the family's 1533-position model. The record is from RNAcentral.
UACGGGGGGGGCAAGCGUUGUUCGGAAUUACUGGGCGUAAAGGGCUCGUAGGUGGCCAACUAAGUCAGACGUGAAAUCCCUCAGCUUAACUGGGGAACUGCGUCUGAUACUGGAUGGCUUGGAUCCGGGAGAGGGAUGCGGAAUUCCAGGUGUAGCGGUGAAAUGCGCAGAUAUCAGGAAGAACACCCGUGGCGAAGGCGGCUCUCUGGGACGGUACUGACGCUGAGACGCGAAAGCGUGGGGAGCGAACAGG